GGGUUGUGAGGUUAAGCGACUAAGCGUACACGGUGGAUGCCCUGGCAGUCAGAGGCGAUGAAGGACGUGCUAAUCUGCGAAAAGCGCCGGCGAGGUGAUAUGAACCUUUGACCCGGCGAUGUCCGAAUGGGGAAACCCAGUGUGUUUCGACACACUAUCGUUAACUGAAUACAUAGGUUAACGAGGCGAACCGGGGGAACUGAAACAUCUAAGUACCCCGAGGAAAAGAAAUCAACCGAGAUUCCCCCAGUAGCGGCGAGCGAACGGGGAGCAGCCCGGAGUCUGAAUCAGUUUGUGUGUUAGUGGAACGGUCUGGAAAGUCCGACGGUACAGGGUGAUAGUCCCGUACACGAAAAUGCACAUGCUGUGAACUCGAAGAGUAGGGCGGGACACGUGGUAUCCUGUCUGAAUAUGGGGGGA
This 420-nucleotide ribosomal RNA is filed under the name Enterobacter hormaechei. RNAcentral describes it as "partial 23S ribosomal RNA". It matches the Rfam family "Bacterial large subunit ribosomal RNA", at positions 1 to 452 of the family's 2925-position model. The record is from RNAcentral. Lineage: Bacteria; Pseudomonadati; Pseudomonadota; Gammaproteobacteria; Enterobacterales; Enterobacteriaceae.